This 332-nucleotide ribosomal RNA is filed under the name uncultured eukaryote. RNAcentral's name for it is "partial 18S ribosomal RNA". It matches the Rfam family "Eukaryotic small subunit ribosomal RNA", at positions 1470 to 1796 of the family's 1831-position model. The record is from RNAcentral.
CCCUUAGAUGUUCUGGGCUGCACACGUGCUACACUGGCAGGUUCAGCGAGCUUCAUGCCCUGAUCUGAAAGGAAUGGGAAAUCUUUUCAAAACCUGCCGUGCUUGGGAUAGAUGUUUGCAAUUAUUCAUCUUCAACGAGGAUUGCCUUGUAAGCGCACGUCAUCAGCGUGCAUUGAAUACGACCCUGUAUUCUGUACACAUCGCCCGUCGCUCCUACCGAUUGAAGUUUUCGGUGAGUUGACAGGAGGAUUUUUUUGAAACUGGUUCGCCAGUGGAUUUUAGAUCCAAAUGCCAACGAAUCGAUGGCUUUAGAGGAAGGAGAAGUCGUAACA